GAAGCUAUAGUCAAUAUAUGAUAUGACAUAUAAUUUGCAUUUAUAAAGAGUUAAAACUAGUUUCG
This 65-nucleotide transfer RNA is filed under the name Longpotamon exiguum. RNAcentral describes it as "tRNA-Ala". Lineage: Eukaryota; Metazoa; Arthropoda; Malacostraca; Decapoda; Potamidae. The record is from RNAcentral.